GGGGGCGAAACGGAUUCGACGUGGAUAUGUAACUAUAAGUCGCAUGCCGAGGUCCUGUCCGCUCGUAAAACGGGUAGGAAACUAUAAGUGCCGAUAACUACGGCUACGCUUUAGCCGCUUAAGGCUAACGUCGCAUUAACUUUGUCGGAAGAGUUAAUUGUGGCGCCGAUAAUUCCGGCUAGGGAAGUGAGUUGGCUGACGACUCGCCGACCGAAAAACUAGUCGGCUGGUCCCAAAAGCAUUCUGCCGGCGGAAGACUUGCGGGACGAGAAACAAAACACCGGCUAAGCAUGUAGAAGCUUUUAGGGAGUAUUUGCGGACGCGGGUUCGACUCCCGCCGCCUCCACCA
RNAcentral lists this transfer-messenger RNA (349 nucleotides) under Desulfobacca acetoxidans. Its description in RNAcentral is "Standard tmRNA". It matches the Rfam family "transfer-messenger RNA". From Rfam's summary of the family: Bacterial tmRNA, also known as 10Sa RNA or SsrA, is named for its dual tRNA and mRNA-like properties. Its role is to liberate the mRNA from a stalled ribosome. RNAcentral also lists the same sequence under 1 other name. Lineage: Bacteria; Pseudomonadati; Thermodesulfobacteriota; Desulfobaccia; Desulfobaccales; Desulfobaccaceae. The record is from RNAcentral.